UAGGCUGUUCUUCUUUUCUUGAUGGCUCUGAUUGUGGUAGGGCCCUCGGCCUAUCUUCCCUACCUUCAGACUGACGUCGGAUGAAUCUGUUGAGCUGACCUCAUCUGAUGAGCUCCUCGAUCUCAUCUUGGAACUAAAUACACUCCUUCGUGUCGUGGCUGUGGUCACGAUGAUAGAGGCAGAACUUGUUAGGGUUUCACUUCUCAGGGUGUGUGCGUAUC
RNAcentral lists this long non-coding RNA (221 nucleotides) under Elaeis guineensis (African oil palm). Its description in RNAcentral is "long non-coding RNA (EGUI_LNC055105)". The record is from RNAcentral. Lineage: Eukaryota; Viridiplantae; Streptophyta; Magnoliopsida; Arecales; Arecaceae.